Long non-coding RNA from Astyanax mexicanus (Mexican tetra), 458 nucleotides. RefSeq lists it as uncharacterized. Lineage: Eukaryota; Metazoa; Chordata; Actinopteri; Characiformes; Acestrorhamphidae. The record is from RefSeq and is a predicted model, not a curated record. The transcript is spliced from 4 exons.
UCCGCGGUACAGUUAAAAAGCUCCACGCGACAGUAGGUGAGCUCCGUGGUACAGUUAAAAAGCUCUGCGCGACAGUAGGUGAGCUCCGUGGUACAGUUAAAAAGCUCCGCGCGACAGUAGGUGAGCUCCGCGGUACAGUUAAAAAGCUCCGCGCGACAGUAGGUGAGCUCCGCGGUACAGUUAAAAAGCUCCGCGCGACAGUAGGUGAGCUCCGCGGUACAGUUAAAAAGCUCCGCGCGACAGUAGGUGAGCUCCGCGGUACAGUUAAAAAGCUCCGCGCGACAGUAGGUGAGCUCCGCGGUACAGUUAAAAAGCUCUGUGCGACAGUAGGUGAGCUCCGCGGUACAGUUAAAAAGCUCUGCGCGACAGUAGGUGAGUUCCCCGGUACAGUUAAAAAGCUCUGCGCGACAGUAGGUGAGUUCCCCGGUACAGUUAAAAAGCUCCGCAGUACAGUUUAA